GUAGGUGGCAAGCGUUGUCCGGAAUUAUUGGGCGUAAAGCGCGCGCAGGCGGUUCUUUAAGUCUGAUGUGAAGCCCACGGCUCAACCGUGGAGGGUCAUUGGAAACUGGAGAACUUGAGUACAGAAGAGGAAAGCGGAAUUCCACGUGUAGCGGUGAAAUGCGUAGAGAUGUGGAGGAACACCAGUGGCGAAGGCGGCUUUCUGGUCUGUAACUGACGCUGAGGCGCGAAAGCGUGGGGAGCAAACAGGAUUAGAUACCCUGGUAGUCCACGCCGUAAACGAUGAGUGCUAAGUGUUAGGGGGUUUCCGCCCCCCUUAGUGCUGCAGCUAACGCAUUAAGCACUCCGCCUGGGAGUACGGCCGCAAGGCUG
RNAcentral lists this ribosomal RNA (371 nucleotides) under uncultured organism. RNAcentral's name for it is "partial 16S ribosomal RNA". It matches the Rfam family "Bacterial small subunit ribosomal RNA", at positions 527 to 896 of the family's 1533-position model. The record is from RNAcentral.